AGGUUUAUUGCCUGGCUAUAGACAGCCCGAGAAAGAAAGUUAGCUUCCCACCCCCGGCAGCUGCAGUGAUUGGAAAACGAGCCUGAGCCUUUUCACCGAAAAGAAUAUAUCAUUAUCCGUUGGGUUCGCCCUACUUCCCUGUUAAGAAUCACCUGAAGUGCCUAAAAAUCCGCGAGUUUCAGGGCUUUUCCCUGGAAAUAAUGAUUUAGAACGUCCUGGGGGAGGGCCUAGGAGUCUGUGGGUUUAAUAAGCACCUCCAGGAUUUGUGUCUUCGGGUAAGGUGGCGUAAUACUAAAGAGCUGGUAUUCAAAAGUUUCUUUCCAAGAAAUUGCUUCUGUUACCCUGUUACGUUUAUCCAAAUAUUCUCUGUUAGUUGCUCUUUUAGAGUUGAAUUUCUCCAGCAGCUCCCACAAAUAAGCAGUUUUUCCUGGAAGGGGAAAUGUAACAGUUUAAGAGGGGGCUGGCUAGUCUUGAUUUUCGCAGUACACCGUCACCCCACCACCUCCUCAGCCAGUGAGCCACAGAUGUGUGUGGGGUGUCCAUUAUCAGCCUGUUCAGCUGGAUCGGUUUGUGACCCUAAAGUGAAUCUCCAGACUGAGUAGGAUGAUAGUGUAGGCAGAAGCCUUUUAAAGGAGGGAACUGGGGUGUGGAACGAGCAAGUUUCAGAGCCUCACUGGGCAGGCCUGGGCAGCCAGAAGACUGUGGGAAUACACAGAAGGUGGCUUUUUGUGCACCAUGGGCUGUGGCAGGAGAACUUGUUAUUCCCACCCUAGUAUCAGAAAUGCUCCAAGAGAGAGCAAAGGUUAAAUACCGUGGUGUGUUCCUCCAGGUUCACCGUGGGAAAAACCCUUUGCUCAGGGGCUGUCUGGCAGAAGGUGCUGGCAUCCACACCCUUGUCAGAACCCUCCAUAGACUGAGCAGCUAGAUCACCUAAGCUGAUGGAGCUUUCCUGCAAUACCAGACACUGGCAUCCAUGAAGCGAAGUCUUAGGGUGGGCAUUUUGUGGAAAAGAGAGAGGAAAGAAGGAUUUCUUGGGGUUAACAGAAAGUGGAUGUAGAUAAAGGGAAUUCUCCAGUCUUGCACCGCUAACAUGGUGCAAUAUUCACAAACAGACAUGAUUCGUGCUUGUGGACAAAACUGACCUCGGAGCUGAGUCAAGCAUUGAAAAAUCCUGGAACUUUCAAUAUUUAUGUAGCCAAAGUGUCUCUCUUGCUCACUCACUUGCUUGCUUGUGUACCACUAAUUGAGCAACUACUAUGGGCCAGAUGCUCUGGAAAAUGUUGUUCUGAAGAGGAGUACUAAUCUUCACCAGUGGUGCACCUAGCUGUAUUUUGCACAUUAGGAAACAGACCCAGAGGCACACCUCCCAGAUGCAUCUUCCUCAUGGGGUUGUCGCAGGGUUUAAGAAAAUGAACUCAUAUAAAGGGCUCAGAAUAGUGUCUGGAUCACAGAACUCUGAAGAAUUUAUGUCAGUGAUUCUGAAGUGAGAAUGGAACAUGGAUCCAACCCCUCUAAGGCAGAAGAGAUGUGAGCAGAUUACCUUCUCUGUCCUUAAAAGGAGUGGCCCUGCAUUCCCUGAGAGGGCAUAGCUGGGGCAGUCAUCUGGACCCACCAGACAGGAGCUGAAGCUUGAUAAAAGGUGCCUGGUUCCAGUGACUAUGGAGCAGCCUGCCAGCACUAGAGGAGUCACAGAGAUGUCUAGAUGAGUCACAGAGACAUUUACAUGACAGAAAAAUAAACAACUAUGUUGUUUAAGCCAUUAUUAGUCAGUCUUUCA
RNAcentral lists this long non-coding RNA (1777 nucleotides) under Homo sapiens (human). Its description in RNAcentral is "HSALNT0334162". The record is from RNAcentral. Lineage: Eukaryota; Metazoa; Chordata; Mammalia; Primates; Hominidae.